RNAcentral lists this unclassified non-coding RNA (328 nucleotides) under soil metagenome. Its description in RNAcentral is "partial contains 5.8S ribosomal RNA, internal transcribed spacer 2, and large subunit ribosomal RNA". The stretch from base 1 to 120 matches the Rfam family "5.8S ribosomal RNA", at positions 35 to 154 of the family's 154-position model. The record is from RNAcentral.
GAUGAAGAACGUAGCGAAAUGCGAUAAGUGAUGUGAAUUGCAGAAUUCAGUGAAUCAUCGAAUCUUUGAACGCACAUUGCGCCCCUUGGUAUUCCGAGGGGCAUGCCUGUUCGAUCGUCAUUAUAACCCUCAAGCUCAGCUUGGUGUUGGGGCCUGCUGCACUGGCAGCCCUUAAAAUCAGUGGCGGCGCCAUCUGGCUCUAAGCGUAGUAAUUCUUCUCGCUAUGGAGUCCUGGUGGAUGCUUGCCAUCAACCCCCAAUUUUUCUAUGGUUGACCUCGGAUCAGGUAGGGAUACCCGCUGAACUUAAGCAUAUCAAUAAGCGGAGGA